Molecule: long non-coding RNA, 2582 nt
Filed under: Struthio camelus australis
Lineage: Eukaryota; Metazoa; Chordata; Aves; Struthioniformes; Struthionidae
Description: lncRNA (ENSSCUG00000006583.1)
Source: RNAcentral
CGCUGACCCCCCCGCCCCGCGUUAGAUGUGCUUCGGGGCCCCGCUGCCUCUCCUGCCAGUGAAAAGUUAACGGGGAAGGAGUUGCUUCCUGAGCAGUUCGGGGACGACAAGCUGUUUAAAGCGACGGGUUUUACGUCAGCUGCGCUGGCUGCUCCUCAGGGUGAAGUUGGUCCCUGGUCUUGGUUUGGGUGCUGCAAAGCAGAGGAAGCCAAGUCACUCUCAGGUCGUUGCACGUGGUGCGUGAAGGCCACAGUCUCGGCCUCGGCGCUCGAUCCCCGGGAAGCAUCAAGGGAUGGGGAGAUGACACCUGCGUCCUUACCCCCACCCGCUGGCUCCCAGGGAAGCCGGGGGAGCCGGCCACAUCCUUUUAAAGGACUGAGCACUACAUUUCUGCAAAUAAUCCUGUUCGUUUCAGUGCGACUCUAGAAGCGAGCAAAUACCCUCUCACCGGAGCGGGCCAGGCAGGAGGAAGGAGUCGCAGUCUCCUGGGUACCUCUGGGUACCUUCUGGUACCCUCUCAGGGUACGACGUUACAAGGUCUAUCAGGAGGGCUUCGUUUGCUUACAAAUCUCAAGCAGGUUGGCCAUGCUGAUCUAUUUAUAGAUGUUUUAGACAUUCUGGGAAUUAAGUGCAUUGCGCUGUGCUAACCGGUGUGUGCUUUUGCCCAGACGAAGGGCUGGGAAAGCUAUCGUUAAUGUGGCUCCGUGAACGUCACUGGAAGCUGGACUGGACCCAGGAAUGCGUGUGAAACGGUGGCACUUUGUAUACAGAAGUCCCUGAUUUUGGUAACGUUGCUGCAGUUUUAAAAGCCAGCAGAGCAAAAAAAAAGCUAAACGCAGAAGGUGAUAAUGUGGCUUGUAGGUACCUAGCUUUCAGAGAGCUGUUUACUCAGCUGUUUCUGAAAAGAAAGUCUCUUUAAACUGUUUCACAGUGAGAAUCAUCCCAAAAUUGAGGCAGAGUACGGGGGCCAUNNNNNNNNNNNNNNNNNNAAGCAGCGCCACUUUCAUUACUUACUGCAGUGAACCAGGGCUGUACAAGGCGAAAAGGUGCUGGAAAAGAAUAGGCAUGUUAUUUGAAGGGUACAUAAGUUCCCUGAAAUUUCUGCUGUUUUUAUUGUAUACUUGAGGCUUAAAUUGUGACAGAAACGGGAACUGAACACAAAAGAGUUUGCUGCGGGCAGCAGCCUACAUCCUGUUCUUCAGUUCAUGGAGGAAAAACCCUUUCCUGCUUUUUUUUUUCUUCUUCAUUUCCCUAUUGUAAAAUUAAAAAAAAAACCACACACAAAACAGGAAAAUGUAGCUUCUAGCUGAUAUAAAUGUUUUUAAUGUUCUGUUCGUGCUUCCUUUUCUCUGCAUGGUAGGAUGAAGAAGCCGUGAAUUUCACAGUGGCAUUCNNNNNNNNNNNNGAAAAUUCACAGCAUUUCUUUGCUGUGACAGCAAGCCAGCAGAGCAUUUUGAAUGCAGGAAUACAUUAAGCAAAUGAGCAAUCCUACUAAAAUCGGUGGGACAACCUGCAGGCGUGAAAUUCUGCGUGUCCUGAAGGGCUGGGGUGCCUCAGGGUCUGUAUGGGGGGAAAAGCAAGCACACCAGUGUGUGCCCCAGUUCGGGGACUACUUGAUUUGCUCUAGCUACAGUUAAGGCAUUUCCAAAAUGUUUAUAGUCUCAGGAGUUUUUCUGACAUAUUUUUCAGUGAAGAUAUCAAUUAAUUUCCAUAUUAACUCUUUUAUUCCACUGUGAAGAAGCGAAAAGGAAGCAUAAGUACAGACUUACAGCUGGUAACAGUCUGAGGGCUAUUAUUUAUUCUAGAAAUGCAUCAGUAAAACCGAUAAGCCUAUUUUCUCCUGUGACCUUUGUGUAUUCUGCUGUGUGUACCGUAGAGCAUUACAAAUGGAGUAUUGUAGUCAGUUAAGCCUAGAGAAGACACUACUUUGUACAUAGGUUUUAGUUUAGGGUUGAUCUUGUGGAAUUAUUACAUUUCCUGAUGUAGCUUCCCUCCCCUUGGUGGAAUCACACCAGAAUAAUCGCAUAGCCUACUUUCUUCCUGCCGUGAACACAGCGGGAAAACUUUGAUACGUGUCGUCAUUUGGGAGUUAUCUAGGGCCCAGUGAACACAAUGGGCUAAAGCAAAUAGGAAACGGCAUCAGGCAAUUUGGUACACCUGACUUAAAGUCAGGAGAGACAGGAUAGUCAUCCUGGCCCAUGGGGGAUUUACUGUGUUGCCCUGGGCAGCUGCCUCUUUGCUUCCUAUUCCUUGCAUAUAAAAGGGAUGUAAUUAUAAGCAAGACCUGUAAUUGUUUUUCUGUUGAUCUGUCAGGACUGGCUAGCUAACACAUCUGAAAUGUUUUGAACGUAUCAACUGGUUUGUAAGCAUAAAGCAUUGUAUUUUUAUGGUCUGGAGUUAAGACUUUCCUCGUCCUGCAUUGAGAGUUGCAUCUAUCAGUACUGACUGUGCCAGACUGCAACGGCACGGUACAACCACCUUACCAUUGCCUUAAACUAAAAGAAAAAGGUUAUGUCAGCCUUUGAAUAACACUGUAUGUUGCUUUUCUGUUGGAACUAAUAAAAUCUAAAGAAAAUAUAUCA